CUAGUAACUGCGAGUGAAGCGGGAAGAGCUCAAAUUUGGAAUCUGGUGGUCUUGGGCCAUCCGAAUUGUAGUCUGGAGAAGUGCUUUCCGCGCUGGACCGUGUAUAAGUCUCUUGGAACAGAGCGUCGUAGAGGGUGAGAAUCCCGUCUUUGACACGGACUACCAGUGCUUUGUGAUGCGCUCUCAAAGAGUCGAGUUGUUUGGGAAUGCAGCUCAAAAUGGGUGGUAAAUUCCAUCUAAAGCUAAAUAUUGGCGAGAGACCGAUAGCGAACAAGUACCGUGAGGGAAAGAUGAAAAGCACUUUGGAAAGAGAGUUAAACAGUACGUGAAAUUGCUGAAAGGGAAACGCUUGAAGUCAGUCGCGUCGUCCGGAACUCAGCCUUGCUCCCGCUUGGUGCACUUUCUGGACGACGGGCCAGCAUCGAUUUUGACCGUCGGAAAAGGGUUGGAGGAAUGUGGCACCCUCGGGUGUGUUAUAGCCUCCAGUCGCAUACGGCGGUUGGGAUCGAGGAACGCAGCGUGCCGCGAGGCAGGGGUUCGCCCACUCCCACGCUUAGGAUGCUGGCAUAAUGGCUUUAAGCGACCCGUCUUGAAACACGGACCAAGGAGUCUAACAUGCCUGCGAGUGUUUGGGUGGAAAACCCGAGCGCGUAAUGAAAGUGAAAGUUGAGACCUCUGUCGUGGGAGGGCAUCGACGCCCGGACCUGACGGUUCUCUGACGGAUCCGCGGUAGAGCAUGUAUGUUGGGACCCGAAGAUGGUGACUAUGCCUGAA
This 774-nucleotide ribosomal RNA is filed under the name Bresadolia uda. RNAcentral describes it as "partial large subunit ribosomal RNA". It matches the Rfam family "Eukaryotic large subunit ribosomal RNA", at positions 80 to 841 of the family's 3401-position model. The record is from RNAcentral. Lineage: Eukaryota; Fungi; Basidiomycota; Agaricomycetes; Polyporales; Polyporaceae.